AGUGAACGCUGGCGGCGUGCUUAACACAUGCAAGUCGAACGAGAUCGGAUUAUAGCUUGCUAUAAUUGUCAGCUAAGUGGCGCACGGGUGAGUAAUGUAUAGGUAAUAUGCCUCUUACUAAGGGAUAACAAAUGGAAACGUUUGCUAAUACCUUAUACUCCUUAUUAACAGAAGUUAAUAAGGGAAAGAUUUAUUGGUAAGAGAUUAGCCUGUAUUGUAUCAGUUAGUUGGUGGGGUAAUGGCUUACCAAGACUAUGACACAUAACUGGUUUGGGAGGAGGAGCGGUAAAACUGGAAUGGAGACGCGUGCCAGACUCCUGGGGGAGGCAGCGGGGGGAAAUAUUGAAAAAUGGACGAAAGUCGGAUGCAGCAACGCCGCGUGGAGGAUGACAAUUUUCGGUGCGUAAACUCCUUUUAUAUGAGAAGAUAAUGACGGUAUUAUAUGAAUAAGCACGGGCUAACCCCGUGCCAGCCGCCGCCGAAA
RNAcentral lists this ribosomal RNA (484 nucleotides) under uncultured bacterium. RNAcentral describes it as "partial 16S ribosomal RNA". It matches the Rfam family "Bacterial small subunit ribosomal RNA", at positions 29 to 523 of the family's 1533-position model. The record is from RNAcentral.